UUCAACAAGGCUUCACUCAAUUAAUCAAGUUAUCAAAAAGGGAAAUCAGUUGAUAAUAAAAUAAGCCAUGUCAUAUGAGAAGGUGACAGGUGUAAUAUCUUGUUCAGCUCUUUAUCACAUCUACUUUGAAGUUGUUCUUAUCUAUGAAAUUGCCCACCAAACAGCAAGAAUUAAGAUAUCCACAAUCUCAUAACCUGAGAAAAAUUACACAUUUAGACAGUACCUUCUAUAGAUCAAUUAUUGCUAACAUCUAGAUCUUCAAGGGAGAGAGAGAGCAAACAUCAUGAACAGCAAAUAUAUGCACCUUGUUAUAACAACGUGGAUUUUGACAUCAACUUUAAGUAGUUGUUCUGUUCUUCCAUUUUUCCCAAUAGCUGAAGACCAUCAAUGCUCUGACAAUAAAGACUGUGAAAAAGAUCAUUGCUGUGUUGCUGUUGAUGCAUUCUUCUUCCCAUUACCAACUACAGUCACAUGGAAAUGUAUGCCUCUGGGAGAAGAAGGAAAUCGAUGUAAUAGUCUAAG
Long non-coding RNA from Limulus polyphemus (Atlantic horseshoe crab), 522 nucleotides. RefSeq lists it as uncharacterized. The record is from RefSeq and is a predicted model, not a curated record. Lineage: Eukaryota; Metazoa; Arthropoda; Merostomata; Xiphosura; Limulidae. The transcript is spliced from 4 exons.